RNAcentral lists this ribosomal RNA (496 nucleotides) under uncultured bacterium. RNAcentral describes it as "partial 16S ribosomal RNA". It matches the Rfam family "Bacterial small subunit ribosomal RNA", at positions 28 to 507 of the family's 1533-position model. The record is from RNAcentral.
GAUGAACGCUGGCGGCGUGCCUAAUACAUGCAAGUCGAGCGAACGGACGAGAAGCUUGCUUCUCUGAUGUUAGCGGCGGACGGGUGAGUAACACGUGGAUAACCUACCUAUAAGACUGGGAUAACUUCGGGAAACCGUAGCUAAUACCGGAUAUAUUUUGAACCGCAUGGUUCAAAAGUGAAAGACGGUCUUGCUGUCACUUAUAGAUGGAUCCGCGCUGCAUUAGCUAGUUGGUAAGGUAACGGCUUACCAAGGCAACGAUGCAUAGCCGACCUGAGAGGGUGAUCGGCCACACUGGAACUGAGACACGGUCCAGACUCCUACGGGAGGCAGCAGUAGGGAAUCUUCCGCAAUGGGCGAAAGCCUGACGGAGCAACGCCGCGUGAGUGAUGAAGGUCUUCGGAUCGUAAAACUCUGUUAUUAGGGAAGAACAUAUGUGUAAGUAACUGUGCACAUCUUGACGGUACCUAAUCAGAAAGCCACGGCUAACUACGUG